This 564-nucleotide ribosomal RNA is filed under the name uncultured bacterium. RNAcentral's name for it is "bacterial SSU rRNA". It matches the Rfam family "Bacterial small subunit ribosomal RNA", at positions 338 to 916 of the family's 1533-position model. The record is from RNAcentral.
CCUACGGGAGGCAGCAGUGGGGAAUUUUCCGCAAUGGGCGAAGGCCUGACGGAGCAAUACCGCGUGAGGGAGGAAGGCUCUUGGGUUGUAAACCUCUUUUCUCAGGGAAGAAGUACUGACGGUACCUGAGGAAUAAGCAUCGGCUAACUCUGUGCCAGCAGCCGCGGUAAUACAGAGGAUGCAAGCGUUAUCCGGAAUGAUUGGGCGUAAAGCGUCCGCAGGUGGUUUUAUAUGUCUGCUGUUAAAUAGUUAGGCUUAACCUAAUAAAGGCGGUGGAAACUAUAAGACUAGAGUACGUUCGGGGUAGAGGGAAUUCCCAGUGUAGCGGUGAAAUGCGUAGAGAUUGGGAAGAACACCAGUGGCGAAGGCGCUCUGCUAGGACUGUACUGACACUGAGGGACGAAAGCUAGGGGAGCGAAUGGGAUUAGAUACCCCAGUAGUCCUAGCCGUAAACGAUGGAUACUAGGCGUUGUCUGUAUCGACCCGGACAGUGCCGUAGCUAACGCGUUAAGUAUCCCGCCUGGGGAGUACGCAGGCAACUGUGAAACUCAAAUGAAUUGACGG